RNAcentral lists this ribosomal RNA (441 nucleotides) under uncultured bacterium. RNAcentral's name for it is "partial 16S ribosomal RNA". It matches the Rfam family "Bacterial small subunit ribosomal RNA", at positions 338 to 795 of the family's 1533-position model. The record is from RNAcentral.
CCUACGGGAGGCAGCAGUGGGGAAUAUUGCACAAUGGGGGAAACCCUGAUGCAGCGACGCCGCGUGAGUGAAGAAGUAUUUCGGUAUGUAAAGCUCUAUCAGCAUGGAAGAAGAAAGACGGUACCUUACUAAGAAGCCCCGGCUAACUACGUGCCAGCAGCCGCGGUAAUACGGAGGGGGCAAGCGUUAUCCGGAUUUACGGGGUGUAAAGGGAGCGUAGACGGAUGGUCAAGUCUGAAGUGAAAGCCCAGGGCGCAACCCUGGGAUUGCUUUUGAAACUGGGGAGCUAGAGUACUGGAGAGGUAAGUGGAAUUCCUGGUGUAGCGGUGAAAUGCGUAGAUAUUAGGAAGAACACCAGUGGCGAAGGCAGCUUACUGGACAGUAACUGACGUUGAGGCUCGAAAGCGUGGGGAGCAAACAGGAUUAGAUACCCGGGUAGUC